CUCACACAUACAUGACAUAACAUCUAUACUGUAUAAUGUAAAUAUCACAUCAACCUUGUUAGAUACGCGGCGAAUACCGUGUGUAACUCCAUACAUAUAAGUCCACUACUCAAUCAAUCUCGCAUUCGAAGUUCAAACGUUAUUGAUGGUGGAUAUUCAAUUGUUUUUUUGUUCGAUUAUCAAAUAUUCAAAAUGGUGAAAAAUAUUAGAGUGCUGGUUAUCUACACGGGCGGUACUUUUGGUAUGCUGAAGAAUGAGAAAGGAGUAUUGGUACCACAGAAGAACAUCGAGCAUCGAGUGAUCAGGAAGUUACCACAGCUGCAUGACAAUGAAUAUUGGCAAAAACACCUGCAGGGCACAGAUCUUCAGGAGUACCUAGCUAUACCAGAUGGAAAAGACACAGAACAUAAAAUCUUGUACAAAAUCUACGAAUAUGAUGAGCUCAAAGACUCUUCAGACUUCACAAUGGACGACUGGAUCAAACAGGCGAGAGAUAUAAAGAAAUUCUACCACGACUACGACGGUUUCGUGGUGCUCCACGGCACGGACACGACAGCUUAUGGUGCCUCUAUCCUAUCGUUCAUGCUGGAGUCUGUUGGCAAGACUGUCGUACUCACUGGAGCACAGAUCCCCAUAUUUCAACCUCGCAGCGACGGCAACAAUAACUUGUUUUGCGCCGUGAUGAUCGCCGCCACACAGCACAUACCAGAAGUCACCGUGUUCUUCGGAGCCAGGCUUUUUAGAGGCACCAGAGUAAAGAAAGUAUCAAACACAAAGAUCUACGCGUUCGACUCCCCCAACUUCCCCGCACUGUUGGAAGCCAAGGCGACGCUGGAGGUGGACCCAAAGAUGCUGAUACAUCCGCCCGGCUCUGUGCCCAACGAGUGCAGGUUGCACGACCAGCUCUGCAGGAAGGUCUAUAUACUGAAGAUGGCGCCAACUAUAGAGCCUGAGAUUAUUAGGGCUGUGUUCUCGGGGAUGGAAGGUGUAGUAUUAGAAACGUACGGCAACGGUAACAUCCCCAUCAAACGCAAGGACAUCUACAAGGAGAUCGAGGCGGCCGUGAAGAACAAGGUGCUGGUGGUGAACGUGACGCAGUGCAUCAACGGCACCGUCAUCGCCAAGCCGCUGUAUGAGACUGGGCUGGUGAGUACAUCACUCAAUUGCCGUGCUUUUCGAUUAGAAACGGCGGUUGGCGACUCCUGAAUCCACGCAUUCCACUAUAAUAUUUUUGCGCACCUCCAAAUAAUAUUUCUAUACAGCGAUUCGCCCGAAGUUUGGAGCAGCGCAAAGUUUGUUAUGUCGACAAAUGUUGGUGGAUUGUUGGCCACCUAAAUUGGCGGGCUUUUGAAUUAGAAAUGGCGGUUCACAACUUCUAAACACAGGUGAGCGCAUGGUACUGUACCAUUCUACUUGCGGAGAGCCGCAAUUAAGUUUACCAUUCUUUCUGACUGAUGGUGGUCCGUCCCCUCAGUGUAAUGGGAAUUUGUGUCUAGAUUUAUCUUUUUUUUUGGCAAAAAGUGGUGAAUAAUAUUCUUUUUCCCCAGCUCCUAUUAGAAUGUGGCGUUGUUCCUGCUUACGAUAUGACAGCUGAGGCAGCGUGGGCCAAGCUGUGCUAUGUUCUAUCAAAGAAGGAACUGAGUUACGAGGAGAAAGUUAAAUUAAUGAAGACUAAUAUCAGAGGCGAGAUGUACAAUCCAACAAACUAAUUUAUUUAUAUUUUAAGCGAUCUAAGUUUAAUUUAAUUGUGAAUAAACUAUUCUUAACUA
This is an RNA transcript of Helicoverpa zea (corn earworm), 1769 nucleotides long. It is a transcript of the gene named L-asparaginase-like, with no coding region annotated. Lineage: Eukaryota; Metazoa; Arthropoda; Insecta; Lepidoptera; Noctuidae. The record is from RefSeq and is a predicted model, not a curated record. The transcript has 9 exons.